RNAcentral lists this ribosomal RNA (467 nucleotides) under uncultured bacterium. Its description in RNAcentral is "partial 16S ribosomal RNA". It matches the Rfam family "Bacterial small subunit ribosomal RNA", at positions 28 to 507 of the family's 1533-position model. The record is from RNAcentral.
GACGAACGCUGGCGGCGUGCUUAACGCAUGCAAGUCGAACGGAAAGGCCUCUUUCGGGGGGUACUCGAGUGGCGAACGGGUGAGUAACGCGUGAGUAACCUGCCCUUGACUUUGGGAUAACUUCAGGAAACUGGGGCUAAUACCGGAUAGGAGCUCCUGCUGCAUGGUGGGGGUUGGAAAGUUUCGGCGGUUGGGGAUGGACUCGCGGCUUAUCAGCUUGUUGGUGGGGUAGUGGCUUACCAAGGCUUUGACGGGUAGCCGGCCUGAGAGGGUGACCGGCCACAUUGGGACUGAGAUACGGCCCAGACUCCUACGGGAGGCAGCGGUGGGGAAUAUUGCACAAUGGGUGGAAGCCUGAUGCAGCAACGCCGUGUGCGGGAUGACGGCCUUCGGGUUGUAAACCGCUUUCGCUCAUGACGAAGCUUUGUGUGACGGUAGUGGGUAAAGAAGCACCGGCUAACUACGUG